AUGGCCUCGACGGAGCACGGCGACAAGCUGCGGAUCCUGAUUGUGCCCUUCUUCGCCACCAGCCACAUCGCCCCCCACACCGAGCUCGCUGUCCGCCUCGCCGCGGCCAGGCCGGGCGCCGUCGAGCCUACGGUGGCGGUCACCCCGGCCAACGUCUCGGUCGUUCGGUCCGCGCUCGACCGGCACGGCCACUCCGCAGCGAGCAACGCCGUCAGGAUAGCCACCUACCCGUUCCCGGACGUGGAUGGCCUCACGCCUGGCGUGGAGAACCUCUCCGCCGCCGGGGCCGACGCGUGGCGCAUCGAUGCCGCGGCCGUCGACGAGGGGCUGACGCGGCCCGCGCAGGAGGCUCUCAUCAGAAAGCUGUCCCCUGACGCCCUCGUCACAGAUGUCCACUUCUUCUGGAACUCCACCGUCGCCGAUGAAGUCGGCGUGCCGUGCGUUACCUUCAGUGUCGUUGGCCUCUUCUCAAGGCUUGCCAUGCGUCACCUCCGAGGCGCCGUCGAGAGCGACCCGGACUGCCAGGAGGUGAUCGUCCCUGGGUUUCCAGGGCCGGAGAUACGGAUCCCGAGGACUGAACUGCCGGAGUUCUUAAGGUGCCAAGCGAAACACGACCGAUUCGGAGGCCCGAUCAUGGCGGGGCAAGCCAGGUGCUUCGGCCUCGCCGUCAACAUGUUCUUGGACCUGGAACGGCAGUACUGCGAGUCCUACACGCAAGGCCACGUGAAGCGCGCCUACUUCGUCGGCCCAGUGUCGCUGCCGUUGCCACCGGCCGGAGCCAGCGGCGGCGGCGAGGCGUCGUGCAUCAGUUGGCUGGGCUCGAUGCCAAGACACUCGGUGGUGUACGUAUGCUUCGGCACCUACGCUUCGAUCUCGAAUGGUCAGCUCGGGGAGCUGGCUCUCGGAUUGGAAGCCUCCGGCAAGCCGUUCUUGUGGGCGCUGAGGGCCGAGGGGUGGGCGCCGCCGGCGGGGUGGGAGGAGCGUGUCGGGAAGAGGGGGAUGCUCGUCAGAGGGUGGGCUCCACAGACCGCGAUCCUGGCCCAUCCAGCCGUUGGGGCGUUCCUGACGCACUGCGGGUCGAGCUCGCUGCUUGAGGCGGCGGCGGCCGGCGUGCCGAUGCUGACGUGGCCGCUGGUGUUCGACCAGUUCAUCGAGGAGAGGCUGGUCACGGACGUUCUCAAGAUUGGCGAGAGGGUGUGGGACGGGCCACGGAGCGCGAGGUACGAGGAGCAGCAGACGGUGCCGGCGGCCGCGGUGGCGCGGGCCGUGGCGAGGUUCUUGGAGCCCGGGGGAACAGGGGAGGCGGCAAGGGGCCGGGCGCAGGAGCUCGCCGUGAACGCUCACGCCGCUGUGGCGGAAGGCGGGUCGUCGUACAAUGAUCUGCACAGGCUUAUCAGUGAUCUGAUGGAAACACGGAAGAUCUAG
Molecule: ribosomal RNA, 1425 nt
Filed under: Triticum aestivum (bread wheat)
Lineage: Eukaryota; Viridiplantae; Streptophyta; Magnoliopsida; Poales; Poaceae
Description: partial small subunit ribosomal RNA
Source: RNAcentral